Molecule: ribosomal RNA, 756 nt
Filed under: Triticum aestivum (bread wheat)
Lineage: Eukaryota; Viridiplantae; Streptophyta; Magnoliopsida; Poales; Poaceae
Description: partial small subunit ribosomal RNA
Source: RNAcentral
AUGGCCGGCCUUGUGCCGACCUACGUUUGUGCCACGGUGGGCACCACGUCCUCCAAUGCUGUUGACCCCAUAGGUGACGUCGCCAAAGUCGCGGCUAUGUUCAAUGCAUGGGUCCAUGUCGACGCCGCCUACGCCGGCAGCGCGUGCAUUUGCCCAGAGUUUCGGCACCACCUCAACGGCGUCGAGCGCGUAGACUCCAUAAGCAUGAGCCCGCACAAGUGGCUGCUCACGUGCCUGGACUGCACCUGCCUCUACGUGCGCGACGCACACCACCUCAGCCAGUCGCUGGAGACUAAUCCCGAGUACCUCAAGAACGAUGCCAGCAUGUCCGGCGACGGCACUGACCUCAAGGACAUGCAGGUCGGAGUCGGCCGCCGCUUCCGUGGCCUCAAACUUUGGAUGGUCAUGCGAACCUACGGCACCGCCAAUCUCCAAGAGCACAUCCGCAGAGACGUCGCCAUGGCCAAGAUGUUUGAGGACUUGGUCCAUGCUGAUGAUCGGUUUGAGAUCGUCGUGCCGAGAAACUUUGCUCUCGUCUGCUUCAAGAUCAAGGCGACUAGAAUUAGGGCGAACGACGAGGUGAACCGUUUGCUCAUGGUAAACGUGAACAAGACCGGCAAGGCGUACCUUGCGCACACAGUGGUAGGUGGCAGGCUCGUCCUGCGCUUCGCCGUGGGAUCGUCACUUCAGGAGGAGAGACACAUUUUGAGCGCUUGGGAGCUCAUCAGGAAGACGGUCGGUGAGAUGAUGAACUAG